Molecule: long non-coding RNA, 164 nt
Organism: Sphaeramia orbicularis (orbiculate cardinalfish)
Lineage: Eukaryota; Metazoa; Chordata; Actinopteri; Kurtiformes; Apogonidae
Exons: 3
Source: RefSeq, a predicted model, not a curated record
UGAAAAAAAGGUUUGAGGAGCGGUGCAGUAAGUAACACAAUGGACCUCAAUGCGGAAGACCAGGGUGGGUGGGUUGGAGGGUGCAGGAGACAUACAUUCACCACUAAGAUAACAUGCUGGUAGUAGGAAAGCGGCAGCACAAGCAGUGCCGGAAACAAAGUUUC